Molecule: long non-coding RNA, 1071 nt
Filed under: Pandoravirus celtis
Description: hypothetical ncRNA
Source: RNAcentral
CGUAUCCCUGGUCCUUUGGGGAUCGAUCCACUCGUUGACGUCGACGCGACCCCGCGCAAGGACGCGCUCGAUCGUGUCGAUGUCUUGCUCGCCAAUGGCACGCAAAAGCGCAGCCAUGUCUUCACUGCGGCCUGGCGGACAGUCCGUGUCGCGCAGACCGACCAAAGCGCGGGGUUGUGACGCUUGUGCCUGCACAAUUGACUGCGGUCCUGAUGGCGCCAUCAGAGGACUCCUCGGCGGCCUUGCUGCAUUCUCGGCAGCGGCGCCAAAGGGCGCUGGACGGCCAGACUGCGCUGGGACGAGGCUCGCGGUCGGCGUCGGUCUGGACCUCGUGAAUCGGCCCAAAGACGGCGCCUGCUGGAUCUGACCGCGCUGCAGUGCAGACGGGACUGGUGCCAGGCGUGCAGUUGGACCGGCCUGCGCCUGGACGAAUCGGUUUGGGGGUAGUGCUCGCAUGGCCGGCGCCCUAGGUUGCACGGGUGCGAGACGCGUGGCCGCUUGCAAUCGUGAAAAUCGGCCCACUGGCGGCGCCUGGACAGGCAAAGGCUGCCUAGGACCUCCCGCGACUGUAGGCGGCGGAAGGCGUGCGGCUGGGGCCGCCUGCGGUCUCGCCAACGGACCCAAGAUUUGCCUUCUGGCCAGGGGGAGUGCACGGCGGUUCGGUUCCAUCGUCUCGGCGUGCCGUGUCUGCCUCUCUCACUUGCCCAUGGGCGGCCCCAGUGGCGCAUCACCCGGCGACAACAAUGGCUGUGGCGGUAUGCAUCGAUCACAGUGAUUGUGACCGAGCCGCCUGCAGCCACGAGUGCAUGCGUCUCGACCCUCUUCCCCCCAGCCCGCCGGUCCUCACCUUUUUGCCCAUCGCCGAGAAACACCGCCACCUUGAGCGCCCUUGUUAAAUGAAAAAACCAAAAAAGGCGCGUAAGGAGCAAUUUGGAAAAAAAAUAACAACGUGGCAGCAUCUAGACAUGCGCAAACCCAAAGGACACACGCGCCCCUCACGCGGCAGCGCAAGAUUCGCAAAGGCAGGCCUCUGUCGACAAUCGCAACCCGGCAGAAUAAAAAGGAAAAAUA